Molecule: transfer-messenger RNA, 415 nt
Filed under: Candidatus Saccharimonadota bacterium
Lineage: Bacteria; Candidatus Saccharimonadota
Also listed under: 1 other name
Description: Candidatus Saccharibacteria bacterium transfer-messenger RNA
Rfam family: transfer-messenger RNA
About the family: Bacterial tmRNA, also known as 10Sa RNA or SsrA, is named for its dual tRNA and mRNA-like properties. Its role is to liberate the mRNA from a stalled ribosome. To accomplish this part of the tmRNA is used as a reading frame that ends in a translation stop signal.
Source: RNAcentral
GGGGCUGAAUUUUAAGCUCGACGUUGGACUUUAACAAACUCACAUGGCAGGCCGGAUUGAUCUACACGUUAGCUGGAUCACCAAAUAUAGUUGCAGAAACAUCUGAAACUCGCGAAUCUCUAAUUGAAAAGCUCGCUGCAAAGCUUGCUCCUCAAAGCGACUUCGCACUAGCAGUUUAAUUUUAUUAGACUGCCGCUCACGAACCGACAUCAGAUAGGUUUUUCGAGCGCCAUAUUUAUCUGAUUGCUGCCUACGUAGUUGCCCCUACGUAAGCUUAAGCCCAAGGGCUGCGGUCAGCAUGUUUUUUGUUUGUCUCAAGCCUGUUGGCCAAAGAAACUAUAAGACAAACUAAGCCUGUAGUCAUUGAGUAAGUUAACUGACGGACCCGGAGGGCAGUUCUCCGGCAGCUCCACCA